AUUGAACGCUGGCGGCAUGCCUUACACAUGCAAGUCGAACGGCAGCACGGGUGCUUCCACCUGGUGGCGAGUGGCGAACGGGUGAGUAAUACAUCGGCACAUGUCCUGUAGUUGGGGAUAGCCCGGCGAAAGCCGGAUUAAUACCGCAUACGAACUACGGAUGAAAGCGGGGGACCUUCGGGCUUCGCGCUAUAGGGUUGGCCGGUGGCUGAUUAGCUGGUUGGUGGGGUAAAGGCCUACGAAGGCGACGAUCAGUAGCUGGUCCGGGAGGACGACCAGCAACACUGGAACUGAGACACGGCCCAGACCCCUAGGGGAGGCAGCAGUGGGGAAUUUUGGACAAUGGGCGAAAGCCUGACCCAGCAAUGCGGCGUGGGUGAAGAAGGCCUUCGGGUUGUAAAGCACUUUUGUCCGGAAAGAAAUCCUUGGCUCUAAUACGGUCGGGGGAUGACGGUACCGGAAGAAUAAGCACCGGCUAACUACGU
This 485-nucleotide ribosomal RNA is filed under the name uncultured bacterium. Its description in RNAcentral is "partial 16S ribosomal RNA". It matches the Rfam family "Bacterial small subunit ribosomal RNA", at positions 29 to 506 of the family's 1533-position model. The record is from RNAcentral.